This 460-nucleotide ribosomal RNA is filed under the name uncultured bacterium. Its description in RNAcentral is "partial 16S ribosomal RNA". It matches the Rfam family "Bacterial small subunit ribosomal RNA", at positions 338 to 795 of the family's 1533-position model. The record is from RNAcentral.
CCUACGAGUGGCUGCAGUGAGGAAUAUUGGUCAAUGGGCGCGAGCCUGAACCAGCCAAGUCGCGUGAAGGAUGACUGCCCUACGGGUUGUAAACUUCUUUUAUACAGGAAUAAAGUGAGGCACGUGUUCCUUUUUGUAUGUACUUUAUGAAUAAGGAUCGGCUAACUCCGUGCCAGCAGCCCCGGUAAUACGGAGGAUCCGAGCGUUAUCCGGAUUUCUUGGGUUUAAAGGGAGCGUAGAUGGGUUGUUAAGUCAGUGGUGAAAGUUUGCGGCUCAACCGUAAAAUUGCAAUUGAUACUGGCAGUCUUGAGUACAGUGGAGGUAGGCGGAAUGCGUGGUGUAGCGGUGAAAUGCUUAGAUAUCACGAAGAACUCCGAUUGCGAAGGCAGCUUACUAAACUGCCACUGACAUUGAGGCUCGAAAGUGUGGGUAUCAAACAGGAUUAGAUACCCCUGUAGUC